AGAGACUUAGGAUACCUAAACCAAGGGCCUUCAAAGCCCUAAACAGGGUUACAACCCCCUAGCCUCUG
Molecule: transfer RNA, 68 nt
Filed under: Sceloporus scalaris (bunch grass lizard)
Lineage: Eukaryota; Metazoa; Chordata; Lepidosauria; Squamata; Phrynosomatidae
Description: tRNA-Trp
Rfam family: tRNA
About the family: Transfer RNA (tRNA) molecules are approximately 80 nucleotides in length. Their secondary structure includes four short double-helical elements and three loops (D, anti-codon, and T loops).
Source: RNAcentral